This 234-nucleotide ribosomal RNA is filed under the name uncultured Actinomycetales bacterium. RNAcentral's name for it is "partial 16S ribosomal RNA". It matches the Rfam family "Bacterial small subunit ribosomal RNA", at positions 99 to 334 of the family's 1533-position model. The record is from RNAcentral. Lineage: Bacteria; Bacillati; Actinomycetota; Actinomycetes; Actinomycetales.
CUAACGGGUGAGUAACACGUGAGUAACCUGCCCACAACUUUGGGAUAACGCUAGGAAACUGGUGCUAAUACUGGAUAUGUGCUCCUGCUGCAUGGUGGGGGUUGGAAAGCUCCGGCGGUUGUGGAUGGACUCGCGGCCUAUCAGCUUGUUGGUGGGGUAGUGGCCUACCAAGGCGGCGACGGGUAGCCGGCCUGAGAGGGUGACCGGCCACAUUGGGACUGAGAUACGGCCCAG